UAAAAAAAAAAUCAACACCAAAUUUGCAAAUUAACAUAAAAAUGUAUGUCAUUCUUACAAAGUAUCAAAUGCUCUACUACGGCACUACAUGAUAAUAUCAAACUUAAAGUUGUCCAACACAAAAAAAAUACAUAUAAUUGAUUUAACGAAAAUACAUAACAGAAAAUAACUAAAACUAAACUUUACUAGAUAUCAAAGAUUCUUUGAUAGUGGCUGCUUGAGAUCCUAAUCCAAAUAUGUUUCCCUUCUUGUUAAUGCCUCCAACCACUUCAUGUAUAUACCUAUCAUCAUCAGAUUGUUGGCUAUGUUGUCUGCUAUCCUCACCUCUUUGAGAGUUUCUCUCAAACAAUUUAAUUUAUGCAGAUCCAUCUCCUCUCAUCAUGUAGAGAAGCAACUCUUAGCUCUUCCUCUAGCUCUACCAAAGUUUAUGCAACUCUCUGAAACCAAUUCAAAAUCAAAUAUUAGCAAUUAGCAUAAUAUGUGCAUGAAUUAACUACAAUGUUGUCAAAUUAUAUAAGUGUAGUAACUAACUAACAUUAUGUGAAUUAAAAAUAUAGAAUUUGAAAGAAGCUGACAAGUUUUAAUGGCAUAACUUUUAAGUUGGUCUGGAACAAAUUUUCCUUCUUGUAUCCUUCACUUGGUCAUGGAACUCUUUGGGAAGUCUAGAGUAUAAAUUUGAAAAAGUGUUUAGGUUUAUUAAAAUAAUAUAAUCAAAUGAUAGGAUACUUACCAAAUGACAUGAUGUGGAGGUUAGAAUCAAAUCAUUGUCUACUAUCGAUCAAUUAGAUGUUAGGUGCUUGUGGUAUAAAACCAGUUUUGGGAUACCAAUUAUUGAUCAGAAAGAAGCACAGAUAAUUAAAUAUUGGAACAUGACAAUAUUCAAUAUAUAGUUUUCUACAUUUGCAAUAUUGGCAUGCUGAAUUUAUUAGAUGUUGGAUAUCAGUUCAAGAAAUUGUGCAUCACUCUAGUCCUUGAAAACUAUAACAUUCAGUUUCUUCACUGCAAACAGAUACAAGGAUCAUUCCAAAGAUUUUAAGCAUGUGAAGCACCAAUAAAAAAAAACCAUUAUCUUGAGAAUGAGAGAGAUAAACGACACUUACAAGGUAAAACUAAAACUAAAAUUGAUUUCAGACUUCAUAGAAAUGAGCAAACAAAAACACACAAAUUUGACGCUCACAUUUUCCACAAAGUUAAAGUUGUCAUAGACACAAACAAACAAAUUCCACUAGUCUUACAUGUACAAGGUUCACCAGAAGCAGAGUUAUUGGCCAUACCUGCUCUGUUGCUUCACUCUUCCACAUACUCACUUUGCAUAAAUCCUUCAAAUAAUCUGUCAAAAGAGGAACAUCAUUUACAAUAGGAAAAAGAAAAACAGAACCAAUAAUUAAAGAAAAGAUAAAAAGGGAUAUCUACACAUGCAGCUUCAAAACAAAACUUAGAAACAAUAAGCAUAAUAGUUUAUUUAUGGAAGUCACAAUAGUAAAAACCCAACAUGAUAUAUAUCAGUGCUAAAGGAUACAUGUCAUAUACUAGCAUAUAUUAGCAUUCAAAUUGAUAACAAUCCUAAAUGAAAAUUAAUCUAAUCAGAUCCCUUCAUUCAUAGUUCAAUCUUAUUAAUUCCAAUACAUAUAAUAACUAGACAGCCUAAUGCAACUUCGGUAUGAAAUCAGUUAAAGUUAACAAAGGUAUGUUGUAUCAAAUAAUACUAAAAAAGACAACAGAGACAAUCAUUAUAGUGUUUAUUUAUGUUUGUCAGUUAUGAACAGUGGAGGUGGCUUUAUCUAAUUUAUAGUGCAGAGAACUCUGGAACAUUAGAUCAGGUUCAAACUCAUAGUCAAUAAUAUGUAGGUCACUUUGUUGGUGAUAAGGUGGCAUUGAGUUCCUUUACCAGAAGCAGGAGGAAUGGAAAUCAUAACAUGCAGUGGAUCUUCCGUCUACGCCAUUUCCAGAUUUGGCAAGUCCAUAUUGUUGUCUCAAGCUCCCUAAAUUGUCUAGAGCUCUUUCAAACAAGCAGNNNNNNNNNNNNNNNNNNNNNNNNNNNNNNNNNNNNNUCAAACAUUAAUUUAGACAAACAAGGUAGAUACAUGAUAAUAAAAUCAAUAACAAAAUUAGAAUCAUUGCAAUCUAGUACUGGUCUAGCUAAC
Molecule: long non-coding RNA, 2144 nt
Filed under: Trifolium pratense (red clover)
Lineage: Eukaryota; Viridiplantae; Streptophyta; Magnoliopsida; Fabales; Fabaceae
Description: long non-coding RNA (TPRA_LNC003354)
Source: RNAcentral